GAACGCUGAAGCAUCUUCGGGUGUGGAUGAGUGGCGAACGGGUGAGUAACACGUGGGUAACCUGCCCUGUACUUUGGGAUAAGCCCUGGAAACGGGGUCUAAUACCGAAUAUGACCUUGCGCCGCAUGGUGUAGGGUGGAAAGUUUCGGCGGUACAGGAUGGGCCCGCGGCCUAUCAGCUUGUUGGUGGGGUAGUGGCCUACCAAGGCGACGACGGGUAGCCGGCCUGAGAGGGUGACCGGCCACACUGGGACUGAGACACGGCCCAGACUCCUACGGGAGGCAGCAGUGGGGAAUAUUGCACAAUGGGCGGAAGCCUGAUGCAGCGACGCCGCGUGAGGGAUGACGGCCUUCGGGUUGUAAACCUCUUUCGCCAGGGACGAAGCGUAAGUGACGGUACCUGGAGAAGAAGCACCGGCUAACUACGUGCCAGCAGCCGCGGUAAUACGUAGGGUGCAAGCGUUGUCCGGAAUUAUUGGGCGUAAAGAGCUCGUAGGCGGCUUGUCGCGUCUGCUGUGAAAAUCCGGGGCUUAACUCCGGACCUGCAGUGGAUACGGGCAGGCUUGAGUUCGGUAGGGGAGACUGGAAUUCCUGGUGUAGCGGUGAAAUGCGCAGAUAUCAGGAGGAACACCGGUGGCGAAGGCGGGUCUCUGGGCCGAUACUGACGCUGAGGAGCGAAAGCGUGG
RNAcentral lists this ribosomal RNA (685 nucleotides) under Amycolatopsis sp. YIM 64616. RNAcentral describes it as "bacterial SSU rRNA". It matches the Rfam family "Bacterial small subunit ribosomal RNA", at positions 64 to 764 of the family's 1533-position model. The record is from RNAcentral. Lineage: Bacteria; Bacillati; Actinomycetota; Actinomycetes; Pseudonocardiales; Pseudonocardiaceae.